UACGGGAGGCAAGCAGUGGGGAAUUUUGGACAAUGGGCGCAAGCCUGAUCCAGCCAUGCCGCGUGUCUGAAGAAGGCCUUCGGGUUGUAAAGGACUUUUGUCCGGGAGCAAAUCCCAGUGGUUAAUACCUACUGGGGCUGAGAGUACCGGAAGAAUAAGCACCGGCUAACUACGUGCCAGCAGCCGCGGUAAUACGUAGGGUGCAAGCGUUAAUCGGAAUUACUGGGCGUAAAGCGUGCGCAGGCGGUUGUGCAAGUCUGAUGUGAAAGCCCCGGGCUUAACCUGGGAACGGCAUUGGAGACUGCACGACUAGAGUGCGUCAGAGGGGGGUAGAAUUCCGCGUGUAGCAGUGAAAUGCGUAGAGAUGCGGAGGAAUACCGAUGGCGAAGGCAGCCCCCUGGGAUGACACUGACGCUCAUGCACGAAAGCGUGGGGAGCAAACAGGAUUAGAUACCCUGGUAGUCCACGCCCUAAACGAUGUCAACUAGCUGUUGGGGGUUUGAAUCCUUGGUAGCGUAGCUAACGCGAGAAGUUGACCGC
This 540-nucleotide ribosomal RNA is filed under the name uncultured Chromobacterium sp. RNAcentral describes it as "bacterial SSU rRNA". It matches the Rfam family "Bacterial small subunit ribosomal RNA", at positions 340 to 872 of the family's 1533-position model. The record is from RNAcentral. Lineage: Bacteria; Pseudomonadati; Pseudomonadota; Betaproteobacteria; Neisseriales; Chromobacteriaceae.